AGGAUGAACGCUGGCGGCGUGCCUAAAACAUGCAAGUCAUACGGUCUACCUUCGGGUAGACAGUGGCAAACGGGUGAGUAACACGUGGGAACACGCCUUCGAGUGGGGAAUAACGCUGAGAAAUCAGUGCUAAUACCGCAUAUGGUCUAACGACUAAAGCAGUAAUGCGCUCGGAGAGUGGCCCGCGUCCGAUUAGCUAGUUGGUGGGGUAAUGGCCUACCAAGGCGGUGAUCGGUAGCUGGUCUGAGAGGAUGGUCAGCCACACUGGGACUGCGAACGGCCCAGACUCCUACGGGAGGCAGCAGUUAGGAAUUUUCGGCAAUGGACGAAAGUCUGACCGAGCGACGCCGCGUGGAGGAUGAAGCCUUUCGGGGUGUAAACUCCUUUUCUGCGGGAAGAUAAUGACGGUACCGCGAGGAAUAAGCACCGGCUAACUACGCGCCAGCAGCCGC
Molecule: ribosomal RNA, 452 nt
Filed under: uncultured bacterium
Lineage: Bacteria
Description: SSU rRNA
Rfam family: Bacterial small subunit ribosomal RNA
Source: RNAcentral